CUCCCUUGCUGCUGGGGGACUUGCACGUGGCUUGCCAAGGAAGAUUGGCCCUGAGCUUACAUCUGUUCCCAUCUUCCUCUACUUUAUAUGUGGGAUGCCUGCCACAGCAUGGUUUGAUAAGCAGUGUGUAGUUCCACAACCAAGAUCCAGGAUGGUGAACCUUGGGCCGCCAAUGCAAAGCACACAAACUUAACAGCUACGCGCCACCAGGCCAGCCCCUUUUUACUGAACCAGGCGACCCAGUGUUUCGUUGGUUCGAAUCCUGGGCACGGACAUGGCACUUCUCAUCAAACCACGCUGAGGCAGCGUCCCACAUGCCACAACUAGAAGGACCCACAACGAAGAAUAUACAACUAUGUACCGGAGGGGCGCUUUGGGGAGAAAAAGGAAAAAAUAAAAAUCUUUAAAAAAAAAAAAAGGAACCUUAUUCUAGAGUGUCAGAGUCCUUUCCAUGAAUUUCUCUGAAGAUGAAACAUUUUGCGAAAGCAUCAGAGUAAAACAAUAACUGUCUGUAAACAACAAGAUCCCAAAAUGGCAACUGACAAAGAAAUUUGGUUAGUUUUGUGACAUAUAAUACUUUAAAAUAAUAACCAGAAUUGUGGCUGACAACCAGGACCAAUCAGAAUUUUAGGAAUGUUAUAUAAUUUUUAAAACAUUUAUAUCAAUAACAUUGACUCACAUAAUACCACCCUAGAAAGUUUAUCAUCACUUAUUUGACAAUGUUUCCCAUGUAAUUUAACAUACCAAAUAAGCCUAAUUAGCUUAGUGUCUUCCUCCUUCUAGGAAGCAGGAGGAAAUUUCCUUGAGAAGUCUCAGGGGCCCUCUGAAAAUCCUCAGAGAAAUUCUCUUCCUUCUUCCAAGCCAAAUGAAAGUAUUCAGGAUUUGAAUAUUUUGGUGGUGGGGAGAGCUUGUCAAAAACAUCAAAAGGUUUUAAAACACUUGUUCAGAUCGGAAACCAUGCUCAGUCAUCCAUUCAAAGUGACAACAGAACCAGUCAAGGGCAAACAGCUAAAACAGUCAAAAUAUCUGAAUAGAGACUCCAGUCUUUCUGAACAGAGGGAAUUAUUGUAACAAAACAUAGAUUUUCUGUCUUUUAGGUAGACUUAUCAAAAAUAAAGAAAAAGCCUUUUAUAACCUCUUUAUCAAGAGCAGACCAAAAGUUCAAGAAAAUUAUCCUUUAGAGAGAGAAAACAAAAUUUUAAUUUUUGUACCAGCUUAUUGUUUUUUUCAUUAAAACUCAUUUACUUAAUUGGAUUUACUUUAAUCUUAGCCAACUUGACCAGGCAUAAAACUCCCUUCAGAAUUUCUC
RNAcentral lists this long non-coding RNA (1309 nucleotides) under Equus asinus (donkey). RNAcentral describes it as "lncRNA (ENSEASG00005030210.1)". Lineage: Eukaryota; Metazoa; Chordata; Mammalia; Perissodactyla; Equidae. The record is from RNAcentral.